Long non-coding RNA from Cephus cinctus (wheat stem sawfly), 1854 nucleotides. RefSeq lists it as uncharacterized. The record is from RefSeq and is a predicted model, not a curated record. The transcript has 3 exons. NCBI's taxonomy places the organism in Eukaryota, Metazoa, Arthropoda, Insecta, Hymenoptera, Cephidae.
ACUACGAAUGCACUGAGGAAGUAGUGGUGAUACGAUUCCUUAAAUAUCGACCUUGAAUUGAAUUGAAUUCGUCUCAUCGAAAAAGGUGUUUUCUUACAAUUACGUGAUGCAGCUCACAUAAUCAUAAUAUGCCGGUUUCGCGAAGACUGACGUAUCGUAUUACGUGAAAACAAUAGCGCAAAAAGUUUCAAGUGCAAAGUCAAUAGACGCAAAAACGAAUAAAGUUAGAUUGGCCAAGUUCGGUAUAUACUGUAGUAGGUAUUUAAUAUAGUCGACAAAGAGUGGUCCCCUUCAUAUAGGAUAGAUCCGUACAAGGUUUUAUUGGUGAAAAAAACUAUUGAUGAUAAACUAUAGUGCGAUAUGUAAUACUAUUUCACUUAGCAUUACUGUUAUCUUCUCUCAUAUUAUCCUAAUAGUACUUUUCAAUUACGAAGACUCGAAUAAACAAGGUCGUGGAUCACGACUUUUUCUUUCUCGAAUAACGCGACAGACGACAACUUAUUAAUUAUUGUACUGUUAAUGGAUUCGCUUCACUCGAGCCUGAUAACCGCGCUUUACGGAAAUCUCGGUAACCAAUACGCUCUUGUUUCAAAUACAAAAAAUGUUUAUGCACUCGAACUCGUUUUUUUUUUUUUUUUUUCGUAGAAUUUUUCUACCGUACUUCCCAUAAAUACAUUCAGCAGGAUAAACGAUAUUUUUUGGUGUACGUUCGAUAAAAAAAAAUAUGCGUCAGGACAGUGCAAAGACCUCGCAAGACCUACGCAGCAAUUGCAAUAGCGAUAACUCAAAACAAGUUUGUUCGGCGAACGACUAUGAUGAAACCAAGCGUGCUACGAAAAUGACUGGUUUAACGAACCAUCUAUAAUUCUAGGGGAAUAACGGGGAAAGUUUUCUACGAGAAAUAUCGACUUCUGCCGCCUUUCCUUGCAACCGAUUGGCAUUCAAUCUCGUUGCCAGACAAUAGAAGAGCAGCAAUGAAAAUAAAGAAAUAUUAGUCAGCUUCACAGAGAUCAAUAAGAAAUUGUGAUCCGUAUAUUCACAGACCUUGAGUGAAUGGCAACGCUUCUUUAGUCAGAAGUACGCGAGCUACGAGGCGAGUUAAGAAAUUAAGAAUGGAGAAAUCCCGAUGAAGAAAGAGACUAGGUAGGAAGUCUCGUAAAAGCUAGGCAGGUCGCUGGCUCGUAAAGAUAUAAAAAUGCGCAGGGUAAUGUUGGCAAUACAGGUUGAAGAAUUGAAGCACACCGUUAGGUUGUCUUACGCAUCGUCUCACUUGGAUCGGUUGACUGGGCAUGAUCUUUCGAUCUUCAAUAGCGAUGAUCGUUAAUCGCGAUGUGAUCAGUGUUCAUGAUGUUGAGCAUUCAUAAUUUAUAUGACGAAAUAUAAAACAGUGAUCGCUUAAAAUGAUACAGCGCUUGUUACCUAGAAUUUAUUUGCGCAACAGGGUGUUAAAUAUUUGUAAAUAUAUUCUAAAUAAUAUAUUGACUCAUCAGAGUUAUUAUGUGAGACAACAACGUCUCGUGCUUCAUAACAAUUGAAGAGAAUAUCGUUGAUAUUAAUAAUAACAACAGACUGCAAUUUCUCGAAUAUUAUAUGGACCUUCUCUUUUAUCAAGGAAGUAUGUAGAUCUUCCGGACGUAACAGCUCGUUAUGAUAAUUCAUUCAUUAUAUUCGUAUAUUUGACGUACAUUUCAUUCUAUUUUGUAUUUACGGUUCUUGCUUUAUCGCAGCAGUUGUUUAUACUAGGCUACCUUAUCUAAACGUAAAACUACUCCGAUUUCCUCUUCCUGUUGUGCGGUGAAUGCUGCUUUCUCGAAUUAAAAGUUGGAUACAGUUAAGAAAAGUUGUAAUCACUAG